GUCUACGGCCACGCUAACCUGAAUGCGCCUGAUCUCAUGUGAUCUCAGAAGCUAGGCAGGGUAGAGCCGAGGGAAGAAAGGUUCGGUGAAUC
This 92-nucleotide ribosomal RNA is filed under the name Jaculus jaculus (lesser Egyptian jerboa). The record is from RNAcentral. Lineage: Eukaryota; Metazoa; Chordata; Mammalia; Rodentia; Dipodidae.